UACGUAUGGAGCAAGCGUUAUCCGGAUUUACUGGGUGUAAAGGGAGCGCAGGCGGCUCUGCAAGUCUGAUGUGAAAGGCCGGGGCUCAACCCCGGGACUGCAUUGGAAACUGUAAAGCUAGAGUGCCGGAGAGGUAAGCGGAAUUCCUAGUGUAGCGGUGAAAUGCGUAGAUAUUAGGAGGAACACCAGUGGCGAAGGCGGCUUACUGGACGGCAACUGACGCUGAGGCUCGAAAGCGUGGGGAGCAAACAGG
RNAcentral lists this ribosomal RNA (253 nucleotides) under uncultured bacterium. Its description in RNAcentral is "partial 16S ribosomal RNA". It matches the Rfam family "Bacterial small subunit ribosomal RNA", at positions 524 to 776 of the family's 1533-position model. The record is from RNAcentral.